GUUACAGAGCAAGACGUGCAAAUAUUAUUGAUACUGUAGUUAUCUGGUUGGUCGGUGUGGAGCCUAUUUUAAGAUGGGGACCAGACUGACCCUCAUGACACGUGUCACCUCUCAUGAUGUAGAAUAAUGCAAGAGCCAACCUUCGCUUGCGGAUGGCGGGAUAUGAUGAUAUUACAGGGCAUGACAGGGCAGUAUAUCAGGUUGACAGGGGCCGGCAGCAUAAUUUUCUAUUACCAUAAAGACCGUAGGAAAAAAUACCAUGUAGAGGGAGGGAUAAACAACUGGCAUCCACUAUUAGCAUUUAAUACUGUGUACUGCCUCGUUCAUCUGCCAGUGGCUUGCCAUCCUCUCACAGCUGCUCUUCAUUUCUCAUCAUUGUUUCUCUCAUAGGUAUUUUCAUAAAACUGCUUUGUUGGUUAAGGGCUUGAAAAAGAUGACAUCGAGUCGCAGUGGUCAUCUGAUGAGCUUGAUGCUUUUGAUUGCCCAUGACCUGCUGGAGGUAGAAGCAGUAAAGGAAAAGGCAGCGUAUGUAGAAGAUAACUGCUCUGCUCCCGGAUAUGCCUCGGGGUCUUCCUGAGCUGCAGGUAUCAUACCACUCUGACCAAUUUAUUCUCAUUUGAUCUGCUUUGAAUACCUGACUUGUGAAAUCACCCAUACAGUCAUACAAAAUCCUAACUUAAUUAUCUUCUGUGCUACAUGUUGAUUUUGCAGUAUGUGUUAAAGCUUAUUUUGGAUGGAUUUGAUUUGCAUGGAAACUAAAUGAAUUGAAUGAAAUUAAUCGAUCUUAAACUUCCUCCUUGAAAUCUGUGCAAAAAGCUGAAUCCGACCAUUGAGAGACACACUGUGUAGACACUGGUGCCACAUUGCUUAAAAAGUUUGCCCAGACCAUCAACGAGUUUGAGGACCAUAUAUACACUGCUCAAAAAAAUAAAGGGAACACUUAAACAACACAAUGUAAC
Molecule: long non-coding RNA, 959 nt
Organism: Oncorhynchus mykiss (rainbow trout)
Lineage: Eukaryota; Metazoa; Chordata; Actinopteri; Salmoniformes; Salmonidae
Source: RefSeq, a predicted model, not a curated record